Non-coding RNA from Pogona vitticeps (central bearded dragon), 601 nucleotides. The record is from RefSeq and is a predicted model, not a curated record. NCBI's taxonomy places the organism in Eukaryota, Metazoa, Chordata, Lepidosauria, Squamata, Agamidae.
GCUGCUUGGUGGGUAGAAGCCAGAUGAUGGGAAAGAAACCAAAUCAUCAUUUAAAAAAAUAAAGAAAUGAGAGACUCCAGCAGCUAUUCCAGUCCUUGGCUCAGUGCUUGGUUUAUUAUUCUCAGAGGUGAGCAGGAGCCUGACGGCGUCUCUCGUGAAAGGGCUGCACGUUCCGGAGAUGCAAGGUAAUUAUGGUAAUGACGAGGCUUGGCGACUUGGUAGUUUAUUAUGGGAGCGCCCUUUGUGCAGUCAAGAAGUGAGGAACGGAGAUGCUAUGGGAUUGAAGGCGAAGCGUCAGCCUCAAACAGGAGGGGUUCCGAAGCCGGAGUCCAAGUGAACAAAAGAAGACUGAAGAACAUCUCCAGCAUCUUGAAGUCCACUAUUUGUGCCAAAAAGAGAGAACAGAUUAACAAGCCUUAUAUUUGCUAAGCAGUGAAAAAUCUGUCGUAAACUCACCUCGGGCUGACACCCUCUCCUUAUAUCUCUGAAGAUCAAGGGUGGAGAAUUUUCCAAGAGGGAAGGAUUGUAUUUUCCACCAUAUCUUGAGCCUCUCUCAUCUUUGGAUACGGGAUUGUAGCUGUUCACUGAGCCCGCUCUUGGC